RNAcentral lists this ribosomal RNA (483 nucleotides) under uncultured bacterium. RNAcentral's name for it is "partial 16S ribosomal RNA". It matches the Rfam family "Bacterial small subunit ribosomal RNA", at positions 30 to 506 of the family's 1533-position model. The record is from RNAcentral.
AUUGAACGCUAGCGGGAUGCUUUACACAUGCAAGUCGAACGGCAGCGCGGACUUCGGUCUGGCGGCGAGUGGCGAACGGGUGAGUAAUGUAUCGGAACGUGCCCAGUAGCGGGGGAUAACUACGCGAAAGCGUAGCUAAUACCGCAUACGCCCUACGGGGGAAAGCAGGGGAUCGUAAGACCUUGCACUAUUGGAGCGGCCGAUAUCGGAUUAGCUAGUUGGUGAGGUAACGGCUCACCAAGGCGACGAUCCGUGGCUGGUUUGAGAGGACGACCAGCCACACUGGGACUGAGACACGGCCCAGACUCCUACGGGAGGCAGCAGUGGGGAAUUUUGGACAAUGGGGGCAACCCUGAUCCAGCCAUCCCGCGUGUGCGAUGAAGGCCUUCGGGUUGUAAAGCACUUUUGGCAGGAAAGAAACGUCGCGGGCUAAUACCCCGUGGAACUGACGGUACCUGCAGAAUAAGCACCGGCUAACUACGU